RNAcentral lists this long non-coding RNA (859 nucleotides) under Homo sapiens (human). RNAcentral's name for it is "HSALNT0379385". The stretch from base 1 to 74 matches the Rfam family "mir-1247 microRNA precursor family". Lineage: Eukaryota; Metazoa; Chordata; Mammalia; Primates; Hominidae. The record is from RNAcentral.
GCUGGGCGCACCCGUCCCGUUCGUCCCCGGACGUUGCUCUCUACCCCGGGAACGUCGAGACUGGAGCGCCCGAACUGAGCCACCUUCGCGGACCCCGAGAGCGGCGGCGCGACUCACCGCGGAGGCGCCCGGACGCGUCAAGCCCAGCCCAAUAGGAAGCACCUGAUCCACACUCUUUCUAGCCCCAGGGAUGCUCAGGAAAGCAGCCUUUCUUUAGGGCUGUCAUCUGUUCUGGGGAUCUGUUGCUGUUUCUUGGGCCCACAGAAUACACUCCACACCUCGGGACUCCAUAAUAUUGGACAAGGCUGGAAGGCCCAUUUGGCUCCUGCAGCCUCUUAUGCAGGAGGACCUCCUGAGGCUUCGGGCAGGAGCUGGUGCACACCUGGAGGAGAGUGCUGGUGAAUGGCAGGUGUGUGCCUCAGUGUCCUUGCUGCCAGGGUGUCAGCCCUGCUUCACCACUGGCCGUUUGUCUCUGUCCCCUCCACUGGCCUCUUGAAGCACAGAGACCCUCCGGGUACUUUCCUUCCUCUGGGCUUCCACUCAUGCUAUUCCCUGCUCCCUUUUUCUACCUGGAGACCCCCAUUCCUCCUCCUCCUCUGCUGCCCUCACCUCCACCUGGGCCCUCCCAGCUCCCGGGAGAUGGCUGAACCCCACUCCCCACCCGCUAGUCAUCCUCUUCAGCGGUCCUCCCAGAGCUGUCCUCAGCAUGGCAGCCUCCACAGCCCCUGGGUGUCACCCCCGGUUUCGUGUCUGCCUCGGACUCCAGACCUGCCCCUCCCAGGCUGGCCCAGAUGGAUCCUCUACAGUGACUAACCCAAACCAGCACCAGGCAGGGACCCAAUAAACCUUUGUGAAUGGA